AACGAACGCUGGCGGCAUGCCUAACACAUGCAAGUCGAACGAGACCUUCGGGUCUAGUGGCGCACGGGUGCGUAACGCCUGGGAACCUGCCCUUAGGUUCGGAAUACCUCCCCGAGAGGGGUGCUAAUACCGGAUAAUCUCUUCGCACCAAAGAUUUUUCGCUCUUGGAUGGGCCCGCGUUGGAUUAGCUGGUUGGUAGGGUAAAAGCAUACCAAGGGCAGGUUGCAGAGCUGGUAGGAGAGGAUGAUCAGCUCCACUGGGGCUGCGACACAGCCCAGAAUCCGACGGGAGGGAGCAGAGGGGAAUAUUGGACGAGGGGCGAAAGUCUGAUACAGCAAUGCCGGGGGAGUGAUGAAGGCCUUAGGGUUGCAAAGCUCCUUUAACCGGGAUGAUAAUGACAGUACCGGGAGAAUAAGCACCGGCUAACUACGUG
RNAcentral lists this ribosomal RNA (433 nucleotides) under uncultured bacterium. Its description in RNAcentral is "partial 16S ribosomal RNA". It matches the Rfam family "Bacterial small subunit ribosomal RNA", at positions 29 to 507 of the family's 1533-position model. The record is from RNAcentral.